Molecule: unclassified non-coding RNA, 373 nt
Filed under: Hevea brasiliensis (rubber tree)
Lineage: Eukaryota; Viridiplantae; Streptophyta; Magnoliopsida; Malpighiales; Euphorbiaceae
Source: RNAcentral
GAUUUCAGUCGGAUCUCUAUCAGAGCUCUUUUGAGAGCUCACCAUACGUACGGUCGGGUCGGUGGUGCUGCGGCGGCUUAUUUCGCGAAUUGAUUGGCUCUCAGUUCGAGAGACUCUAUGUCCAGUUUACACGUCGCAGUAUACCCCUGGAAUGGUGGUUUGGUCGUGGUCUUCCUCUUCACCCUUAUCUUCGUGAAUACCUCAUCUCAUUUAUUCGGAAAGAGAGGAAACGAAACCUCAGGAGCUUCGACUUCCUCCUGACGAUGUGUAUGCGUCAGAGGAGUUGAAAGAUCUCACUGAGUGUCUGUCCCUUAGAUCUUGGGUUCAGGACUGGCUAGCCUUCCUUCGAUGGUACUGUACUCUUGCCUUUUUA